CUUUACUGACGCUAAAGCUCGAAGGUGCGGGUAUCGAACAGGAUUAGAUACCCUGGUAGUCCGCACGGUAAACGAUGGAUGCCCGCUGUUUGCGAUAUACUGUGAGCGGCCAAGAGAAAUCGUUAAGCAUCCCACCUGGGGAGUACGCCGGCAACGGUGAAACUCAAAGGAAUUGACGGGGGCCCGCACAAGCGGGGGAACAUGUGGUUUAAUUCGAUGAUACGCGAGGAACCUUACCCGGGCUUGAACUGCAGCGGAAGGAUACAGAGAUGUUGACGCCCUUCGGGGCCGCUGUGGAGGUGCUGCAUGGUUGUCGUCAGCUCGUGCCGUGAGGUGUCGGCUUAAGUGCCAUAACGAGCGCAACCCUUUUCAUUAGUUGCCAUCAGGUCAUGCUGGGCACUCUGAUGAUACUGCCACCGUAAGGUGUGAGGAAGGUGGGGAUGACGUCAAAUCAGCACGGCCCUUACGUCCGGGGCUACACACGUGUUACAAUGGGUGGUACAGAGAGUCGGUCGUCUGCAAAUGCGAUCCAAUCCUUAAAGCCAUCCUCAGUUCGGAUUGGGGUCUGCAACCCGACCCCAUGAAGCUGGAUUCGCUAGUA
This 601-nucleotide ribosomal RNA is filed under the name uncultured bacterium. RNAcentral's name for it is "bacterial SSU rRNA". It matches the Rfam family "Bacterial small subunit ribosomal RNA", at positions 735 to 1340 of the family's 1533-position model. The record is from RNAcentral.